Molecule: ribosomal RNA, 424 nt
Filed under: uncultured prokaryote
Description: bacterial SSU rRNA
Rfam family: Bacterial small subunit ribosomal RNA
Source: RNAcentral
UGGGGAAUAUUGGACAAUGGGGGAAACCCUGAUCCAGCCAUGCCGCGUGAGUGAUGAAGGCCUUAGGGUUGUAAAGCUCUUUUACCAGGGAUGAUAAUGACAGUACCUGGAGAAUAAGCCCCGGCUAACUCCGUGCCAGCAGCCGCGGUAAUACGGAGGGGGCUAGCGUUGUCCGGAAUUAUUGGGCGUAAAGAGCUCGUAGGCGGCCCAACAAGUCGGAUGUGAAAUCUCAAGGCUCAACCUUGAAAUUGCAUCCGAUACUGCUGGGCUUGAGGCAGGUAGGGGAAAGUAGAAUUCCUGGUGUAGCGGUGAAAUGCGCAGAUAUCAGGAGGAACACCGGUGGCGAAGGCGGCUUUCUGGGCCUGUACUGACGCUGAGGAGCGAAAGCGUGGGGAGCAAACAGGAUUAGAUACCCCCGUAGUCC